This 498-nucleotide ribosomal RNA is filed under the name uncultured cyanobacterium. Its description in RNAcentral is "bacterial SSU rRNA". It matches the Rfam family "Bacterial small subunit ribosomal RNA", at positions 117 to 649 of the family's 1533-position model. Lineage: Bacteria; Bacillati; Cyanobacteriota. The record is from RNAcentral.
GUGAGAAUCUGCCCUCAGGAGGGGGAUAACGGCUGGAAACGGCCGCUAAUACCCCAUAUGCCGAGAGGUGAAAUGAAUUUCGCCUGAGGAUGAGCUCGCGUCUGAUUAGCUAGUUGGUGUGGUAAAGGCUCACCAAGGCAUCGAUCAGUAGCUGGUCUGAGAGGAUGAUCAGCCACACUGGGACUGAGACACGGCCCAGACUCCUACGGGAGGCAGCAGUGGGGAAUUUUCCGCAAUGGGCGCAAGCCUGACGGAGCAACGCCGCGUGAGGGAUGAAGGCCUCUGGGCUGUAAACCUCUUUUAUCAAGGAAGAAGAUCUGACGGUACUUGAUGAAUAAGCCACGGCUAAUUCCGUGCCAGCAGCCGCGGUAAUACGGGAGUGGCAAGCGUUAUCCGGAAUUAUUGGGCGUAAAGCGUCCGCAGGCGGUUUUACAAGUCUGUCGUUAAAACGUGGAGCUCAACUCCAUUUCGGCGAUGGAAACUGUAAGACUAGAGUGU